CCUACGGGUGGCAGCAGUGGGGGAUAUUGCACAAUGGGGGAAACCCUGAUGCAGCGACGCCGCGUGAGUGAAGAAGUAUUUCGGUAUGUUAAGCCCUAUCAGCAGGGAAGAAAAUGACAGUACCUGACCAAGAAGCCCCGGCUCACUACGUGCCAGCAGCCGUGGCACUACGUAGGGGGCAAGCGUUAUCCGGAUUUACUGGGGGUAAAGGGAGCGUAGACGGUUAUGUAAGUCUGGAGGGAACGGCCGGGGCCCAACCCCGGGACUGCCGUUGAAACUGUGUAACUGGAGUACAGGAGGGGCAGGCGGAAUUCGUGGUGUAGCGGUGAAAUGCGUAGAUAUCAGGAGGAACACCGGCGGCGAAGGCGGCCUGCUGGACUGACACUGACGUUGAGGCUCGAAAGCGUGGGGAGCAAACAGGAUUAGAUACCCUGGUAGUC
This 440-nucleotide ribosomal RNA is filed under the name uncultured bacterium. Its description in RNAcentral is "partial 16S ribosomal RNA". It matches the Rfam family "Bacterial small subunit ribosomal RNA", at positions 338 to 795 of the family's 1533-position model. The record is from RNAcentral.